CUGCCGACGAAGAAAACCAUAUUAACAAACAUAAUUUUCGGAUUCCUUUCGUUUGCGGGUGUCGGAAUUUGGGGGAAGCGCUUCGGAGGAUCCGAGAAGGAGCUGCUAUGAUUCGAACCAAAGGUGAAGCUGGGACCGGGAACAUUAUUGAAGCCGUUAGGCACGUGAGGUCCGUGAUGGGAGAUAUUAGGGUUCUUAGGAACAUGGAUGAUGAUGAGGUUUUCAGCUUCGCUAAGAAAAUUCAGUCUCCCUACGAUUUGGUUAUGCAGACGAAGCAGCUGGGGAGGUUGCCAGUGGUGCACUUUGCCGCGGGAGGAGUGGCGACGCCGGCGGAUGCGGCGUUGAUGAUGCAGUUGGGCUGUGAUGGAGUGUUUGUGGGGUCUGGGGUUUUUAAGAGUGGUGACCCGGCUAGACGUGCGCGGGCGAUUGUUCAGGCCGUCACUCAUUAUAGUGAUCCGGACGUGCUUGCUGAUGUUAGCUGUGGGCUUGGUGAGGCUAUGGUUGGUCUUAAUUUGAAUGAUAAGAAGGUUGAAAGGUUCGCGGCUCGGUCUGAUUAGUAUGUUUCAAGUUUUUCGGGCUAAGUGGAGGUGAGAAAUUUCACUGUUUCUUUAGCAUUACAGCAUGAAACUUUGAUUAUAUAUGAUGUUUUGCUUGAAUAAUUUUGUCUAGCAGUGAAUUUUAUGCUCUAGUUUUAUGGGUUUUUUGCAUGUCAAAUUUCUGAAUUGGGACAUAGAUUUGGAUAUUGGCUGUGAAAGGGGUUUGACUGCUUUGUUCUUCUUUUGGUGAUAUAAACGAUGAUGCUUUAUGUAAAUAUUAAAAGGGCAUUUGGAUGAGAGGAAUUUAUGCAUCUUCUUCUAAAAUUUUAUUAUUGUAUAUUUGAUUUCAACGUUUAGUUCAAGUUAAUAUGAGGGAAAGUGACAUAUUACUAAUAGUACUUAAAGCCUUAGAAAUAAAAAACUCAUCUCUUCUUAUGUUAUUUUAGGAUUUUGGGAAAAAAAUUACGUUAUUUUCAAAUUUGACCUAAAUAAAAAAUUAUAAAAUAGUCAUUACUAUUUUAAAAAAUAUAUUUGAAAGUGAUUGUAAAUCAGUUGUAAAUUUCUAUUGCUAAAAGAAAACUUUUUAUAUUGCAAUUAAUGGUGUUUGGCAUGAAAAACAUCUUAAAUAAUCUCUUAAAAAAUUGAUCAGCAUUAUUUAAUAUAUUUUUUGAUCAUAAAAGCCUUAAAUAAUAAAAAAAAUUGGCGUUUGGCGUAAAAACGCCUUAAACAAUCUCCUAAAAAAAUUAAUUAGCAUGAUUUAUGGUGUUUUCUUGGGAAAAAAAGCUUUAAAUAAUCCAAAAAAAAAAGUAAUCUUUAAAAAUAAACCUUAAAAAAAUGGGUCAAAUCUACGACGUUAUAGUUAAUAGUCAUAUGUUCUAACUAAUUGGGUUAUUCUAAUUUUUUUUAUAUUUUAUCUCUUAAAUCUUAUAAGUAAUGAAAGAGAUUAUCUAAGGUGCUUUUAGUAAAAAACGUUUUAAAUAAUACAGUCCAAAAAAUGAAAAGGUAUUAUUUAAGGCAUUUUGAUAAAAAAUACUUUAAAUAAUCUUCUUAAAAAAAUUAAAGUGUUAAAAAGAGAGAUCGAACUUACAACCUUAUGAUUCAUAACUAUAUACUUUAAUCGAUUGAAUUAUUCUAGUUUUUUAUAUGUUAUCUUUUAAAUCUUAUAAGUAAUGAAAAUGAUUAUUUAAGAUAAUUUUAGUAAAAAAAAUCUUAAAUAAUAUAGUAAAAAAAAAGUGAAGGUUAUUAUUUAAGGUUUAUUUUUUUUAUCAAAAAUACUUUAGAUAAUCCCCUUAAAAAAAUUAGAAAUCAUUUAAGACAUUUUUGGUAAAAAAUACCUAAUAUCUUUUAAAAAAUUGAAGGGUAUUAUUUAAGGCAUUUUUGACAAAAAAAUGCCUUAAAUAAUUCAUUUUACAAAAAUAUUAGUGAUUAUUGAAUGUGUUUUGACUUUUUUUGGUAAAAAACGUCUUAAAUAAUUAAAAAAAAAUUGAAGAUUAUUUAAUGUAUUUUUGACAUUUUUGAUCAAAAACACUUUAAAUAAUAUCUUUCAAAAAAUUAAAAAGUAUUAUUUAAAGCAUUUAAAAAAUAUCUUAAAUAAUCCAUUUAAAAAAAAAUAGAGAUUAUUUAAAAUAUUUUUGGAUAAAAAUGCCUUAAAAAAUUUUCUCAUAUUUUUUAAAUGAGUUUAUUUAAGGAGCUUUUGAAUAAAAAAUAUUUUAAAUAAUUCUUUUUUAAAAAAAUAAAAAAGAUUAUUUAGGGUAUUUUUCAAUUAGAAAUGUAUUAAAUAAUUUUUAAUAUUUUUUUAUUGAUGAUAUUUUAUAAAUAAAAACAACAAUCAAAUAAAAUAUUUAUUUUUUUUAUUGUUAAAGGUAUCAUUUAUCAUUUGAGUAUUUAUUAUUAAUAAAAUCUAAUAAAAAAUUGUCAUUAUAUAUAUUAAAAAGAUUAUGAUAAUUAUUCAAAAAUUAAUAUAUGUGAAUUCUCUUGAACUAAAUAAGUGAAUUUGAAUAUAAAGCACUCUAAAAAUAAAAAAAAAUCUCGAGUAUUAUAUUUUUUCAAAAAUCAUAUUUUCUCCUUAAAUUCAAAAUUUUGUGAACCCCAUGCCCUAAAAGUAGGUAAGAAGAAAAGCUGGCCGCUAAAUUGAUGAGUUGUUGAAAGGAUCUUGGCUUUCCUGUUCUUUUGGUAUUGUUUUAGCAUUCAUGGCUUUGUUUUCUACUAUAAUUUCCAAUUUUCGACAUAGUUUGGCGACUGCAUCGUUUUGAUUAUAGUAAGUUGUUGAUGUAUUUGACGUAAGCUGUCAAUUCUUUUGUUUCAAUUUUCAAGUAGUUCGGGAGGAGCGAUUCAUAGCGCAAAGCAAUUUGAUAUUACUGGAUUUUGAAAUAAAUGAUACGAUAAUAACGUGCUUCGAGAGUAAAUAUGAAGUCAUUUAUUAAUUCAUUCAAAUUACUGAGUAUAUUGGAUUUUGUUGUUAGCUUUCUUCUUGCUUUCCAAUGCUUUAUACAUUUCUUGAAAGCAUCAGCAUUGAUAAUUCAUUAGCAGGCAGUAGUGACAAGGUUGUAGUAAUUGACGGUUUCAGUUUCGGAUUCUUCGAGUGGUAAGAGUUGUGAUAAUAUUAUUUGAUAUUAUUUAUCAAUAGCGUGCAAAUCGAUUAAUUUGUUAAGAUAAUAUCAAAUAUAAACAUUUUAUAAAUCAGAUAUAUAAUCGAAAUAUUUUAACUAAUGUUUAAGACUACGACGCUCUUUUGAACCAUUGAACUAAUUGUUGAGAUGUCUGAUCGUCUUUGCAGGAAUCAUUUGGUCUCUUUUUCCAGAUUAUCCGUGUCAAGUCUAGUCAUUUCAUACGGUGGGGUGUACUUUUAUGUCUAAAAUAGGUUUUAAGCCUGCGGAUGCCGGAGCAAAAUAAAAAAUGUGUUAGUUUAAAUAUUGAAUGAUGUAGAAUAGAAAAAAAAGAUGCAAAAAGAAAUAGCAGAAACAAGAAAGAUUUAAAGGUUUAAUUAGCUAUUAUAAUAUAAUCACCAAAGC
This 3547-nucleotide long non-coding RNA is filed under the name Durio zibethinus. RNAcentral describes it as "long non-coding RNA (DZIB_LNC000872)". Lineage: Eukaryota; Viridiplantae; Streptophyta; Magnoliopsida; Malvales; Malvaceae. The record is from RNAcentral.